GCAGGGGUGGGUGAGUGGUUAAAACCGCCAGACUGUAAAUCUGGUGCCUGACGGCUUCGUAGGUUCGAAUCCUACCCCCUGCACCA
RNAcentral lists this transfer RNA (86 nucleotides) under Chloroflexota bacterium. Its description in RNAcentral is "Chloroflexi bacterium (marine sediment metagenome) tRNA-Tyr". It matches the Rfam family "tRNA". From Rfam's summary of the family: Transfer RNA (tRNA) molecules are approximately 80 nucleotides in length. Their secondary structure includes four short double-helical elements and three loops (D, anti-codon, and T loops). The record is from RNAcentral. Lineage: Bacteria; Bacillati; Chloroflexota.